GAUGAACGCUGGCGGCGUGCCUAAUACAUGCAAGUCGAGCGAACAGAUGAGGAGCUUGCUCCUCUGACGUUAGCGGCGGACGGGUGAGUAACACGUGGAUAACCUACCUAUAAGACUGGGAUAACUUCGGGAAACCGGAGCUAAUACCGGAUAAUAUAUUGAACCGCAUGGUUCAAUAGUGAAAGACGGUUUUGCUGUCACUUAUAGAUGGAUCCGCGCCGCAUUAGCUAGUUGGUAAGGUAACGGCUUACCAAGGCAACGAUGCGUAGCCGACCUGAGAGGGUGAUUGGCCACACUGGAACUGAGACACGGUCCAGACUCCUACGGGAGGCAGCAGUAGGGAAUCUUCCGCAAUGGGCGAAAGCCUGACGGAGCAACGCCGCGUGAGUGAUGAAGGUCUUCGGAUCGUAAAACGCUGUUAUUAGGGAAGAACAAAUGUGUAAGUAACUAUGCACGUCUUGACGGUACCUAAUCAGAAAGCCACGGCUAACUACGU
Molecule: ribosomal RNA, 496 nt
Filed under: uncultured bacterium
Lineage: Bacteria
Description: partial 16S ribosomal RNA
Rfam family: Bacterial small subunit ribosomal RNA
Source: RNAcentral